ACUCAAAGGAAUUGACGGGGGCUCACACAAGCGGUGGAGCAUGUGGCUUAAUUCGAGGCUACGCGAAGAACCUUAUCCUGGACUUGACAUGUGCGAAAGCGCUGGGGAGUAGGGUGCGGAAACGUUACCCCAACGGUAUCCAGUCCGGAACCCAGCACAGGUGCUGCAUGGCUGUCGUCAGCUCGUGUCGUGAGAUGUCGGGUUAAGUCCCAUAACGAGCGAAACCCCUGUCUCCAGUUGCCAACGGUUCGGCCGGGGACUCUGGAGAGACUGCCGGUGUUAAACCGGAGGAAGGUGGGGAUGACGUCAAGUCCUCAUGGCCUUUAUGUCCAGGGCUGCACACGUGCUACAAUGGCCUGUACAAAGGGACGCCAACCCGCGAGGGGGAGCAAAUCCCAAAAAACAGGCCCCAGUUCAGAUCGCAGGCUGCAACUCGCCUGCGUGAAGUUGGAAUCGCUAGUAAUCGCGGGUCAGCAACACCGCGGUGAAUGUGUUCCUGAGCCUUGCACACACCGCCCGU
Molecule: ribosomal RNA, 520 nt
Filed under: uncultured bacterium
Lineage: Bacteria
Description: partial 16S ribosomal RNA
Rfam family: Bacterial small subunit ribosomal RNA
Source: RNAcentral